GACGAACCGUCCAAACGUUAUUCGGAAUUAUUGGGCUUAAAGGGUGCGUAGGCGGUGCGGUAAGUCGGGUGUGAAAUCCCUCAGCUCAACUGAGGAACUGCGCUCGAUACUGCCGUGCUUGAGGAAGAUAGAGGUCAGCGGAACUGAUGGUGGAGCGGUGAAAUGCGUUGAUAUCAUCAGGAACACCAGUGGCGAAAGCGGCUGACUGGAUCUUUUCUGACGCUGAGGCACGAAAGCUAGGGGAGCGAACGGG
RNAcentral lists this unclassified non-coding RNA (253 nucleotides) under uncultured Pirellulaceae bacterium. RNAcentral's name for it is "contains 16S-23S intergenic spacer region". It matches the Rfam family "Bacterial small subunit ribosomal RNA", at positions 524 to 776 of the family's 1533-position model. Lineage: Bacteria; Pseudomonadati; Planctomycetota; Planctomycetia; Pirellulales; Pirellulaceae. The record is from RNAcentral.